UAUGGCCGGUGCGGGAGUCCGCGCCGCGAACCUGCCGCUGUUUCUGCAGGCGGGGGUGCAAGAGGUUCAUAGCUCGGCAGGCCAGUGGUUACCAUCGGAAAUGCGCUUUCGUCAUCCGGGCGUUUCGAUGUCAGCCGAUCCCGAUGCAGACGAAUACAGGCGCUACGCCGUCAAUGGCGAAGCGGUGGCGGAGAUGAAAAAGAUGAUUUCCGCCUGGAGACGUUAAACGAUUUUUGCUGCACAUCAUGUCGCCCAAUAUGAUGAUUGCCCGUACCAGGCCCCUGCCCAUUAAACAGGGGCCUUUUUU
This 307-nucleotide non-coding RNA is filed under the name Klebsiella quasivariicola. Its description in RNAcentral is "MicL sRNA". It matches the Rfam family "MicL sRNA". From Rfam's summary of the family: mRNA-interfering complementary RNA regulator of Lpp. Transcription factor sigma E dependant sRNA. Lineage: Bacteria; Pseudomonadati; Pseudomonadota; Gammaproteobacteria; Enterobacterales; Enterobacteriaceae. RNAcentral also lists the same sequence under 1 other name. The record is from RNAcentral.